CGGGUGCAGCUGGCCGUUUUGAGGGCUGCCCGGGUGUGGAGCGUGCGCUCUGAAGAAGGUUCUGCCCAGCGACCUUGGGUCUUCAGAUGAAAUAGAGCUCCAGUCAAGGAGCCUCAUACACCUGGACGUGACUGAAGCAAUCCUGGACUUUCAAGGCAAUUCCAUGAAAAUAUAUGUGCUGCUGAAGCGAACACCAGCUUGGGACUUCUGAAUCAGAUGACAAAACGCCUUUCAGCUUUCACCUGGAUUUCUCGGAAUUCUUACUUUGGAAUGUUCCUUCUUGGAACCUCGCCACCAUGCUGUGAGAAGCUAAGGUCACAUGGAAAAGCCACAUGAAGAGAAAAAACAAUACUGGCCAUAUCCUAGCUGUUUUAAACAUACCAGCCUGGACAUAAAUGAAGGAACCAUCUUGGACCGUCUAGCCCCAGCAGACACUGUAUAGAAAAGAACCCAAAUCCCAGACAUAUGACCCCAGUCAAGCUGUCCCUACCAUCUCCAGCCAUUUUUGAGCCAUCACCGCUGAGGCCCCCAGACGCUGGGAAGCAAAGACAAACCAUCCCUUUUGUGCCCCGCCCAAACUUCUGACCCCCUGAAUGAGUAUAAUGAAAUGGUAGUUGUUUCAUGCCACUAAGUUUUGAGUAGUUUGUUAUGUAGGAUUAGAUAACUGAACAACAGUGAAAAGAUAAUGUUCCCAAGAUAAUGUUUCCUUCCCCUGCCUACCAAAGAAGAUUCUCGUCUGGCCUACUCAUUCUUCCCUUCCCCUGACUUCCAGGAGAGUUCUACCUUCCCAGUCUAGUUCUUAAGCUGUUCUUUGUCAUGAAGAAUUAAGAAGAAAAGAAGAAGGAAAGAAGACCACAAUGCAGAAAUUUGAGGUGUGGGGGGAAGAGAUGAAGGGACAGUUGUUGAGAAGAAAAGAAAAGCAGCUCUAGCAUGUGAAGGCAA
Molecule: long non-coding RNA, 942 nt
Organism: Lutra lutra (Eurasian river otter)
Lineage: Eukaryota; Metazoa; Chordata; Mammalia; Carnivora; Mustelidae
Exons: 3
Source: RefSeq, a predicted model, not a curated record